Molecule: long non-coding RNA, 1085 nt
Filed under: Sus scrofa (pig)
Lineage: Eukaryota; Metazoa; Chordata; Mammalia; Artiodactyla; Suidae
Description: lncRNA (ENSSSCG00015030738.1)
Source: RNAcentral
GGAGCUGGUGCUGUUUGGGGGAUUGAAUUGAGCCAAAUAUCGAACCAAAUAUUGCAUCUAUUUGCUGAAAGAUUUAAGCAGAUGGUCAGCUGCACAUUUUAGCUUGUACAGCACACAGUGUGAAAUAAAAAUAAGGGGAAAAUAGAAAGGGUAUUAACAACAGGUAAUAGGAAAGUGCACCUGGAGAGGAAGACAGGAGACAUCCUUCCAGCCCCCAGCCCCUUUUCCUUCACUGUCGGCAACACGGAUGGGGGCUGGGGCUUGCCUUACAGCCUGCUCUGACCAGAGGGAAGUGACACCGUGGACAUUGCUGUGUAGCAGGAAGCUUCCUGCAGGCCAGGUGAAUUGCCUGCCGUCUCGAAUCUCCUUAUCGACAAUUAUGCCUCGACAUUUAAUGUUGGGUAAAGCUCAUACUAAGUAAAUGUAAGUGGCAAAGAAGCUCCCAGUGGAAACGAAUCUGAUUAGUAUCCAUGAGGACACAGGUUCCAUCCCUGGCCUUACUCAGGGGUUAAGGACCUAGCAUUGCCCUGAGCUGUGGUGUAGGUCACAGAUCCAGCUCGGAUCCCAUGUUGCUGUGGCUCUGGCGUAGGCUGGAGGCUACAACUUUGAUUCAGCCUCUAGCCUGUGAACCUCCAUAUGCCGCAGGUACAGUCCUAAAAAGACUAAUAAUAAUAAUAAUAAUAAUAAUAAUAAAUAUAAAUGGCCAGAAAGUUUUGUCCAAGUUCAUAAAACUGUGCUCUCAAAAUACAAGGGGGCUAUCACAGAAAAAGCAAAAAGCCUGGAGACCCAGUUUUAAUAUUAUUGUAAGGAAUUAUGUGCAGGCAGAGAGCUAAGUGCCAUACAAAUAUUAACUCACUUAUUUGUCUUACCCCCUUAGGGUAGGCAAUGUAAGUAUCCUUAUUCUACUAUGAGGAAACUGAAGCAGUGGGAAAUAAAGACUAAAGAAAUUGGAGUUCCCUGGUGGCCUACUGUUUAAGGACCUGGCAUGGUCACCACUGUGGCUCACGGGUCACUGCUCUGGUGUGGGUUUAGUCCCUGGCCUGGAACAUCUGCAUGCCACCCACAGGCACAGCCAUAAAAAAAAA